RNAcentral lists this ribosomal RNA (497 nucleotides) under uncultured bacterium. RNAcentral describes it as "partial 16S ribosomal RNA". It matches the Rfam family "Bacterial small subunit ribosomal RNA", at positions 28 to 507 of the family's 1533-position model. The record is from RNAcentral.
GAUGAACGCUGGCGGCGUGCCUAAUACAUGCAAGUCGAGCGAACAGACGAGGAGCUUGCUCCUCUGACGUUAGCGGCGGACGGGUGAGUAACACGUGGAUAACCUACCUAUAAGACUGGGAUAACUUCGGGAAACCGGAGCUAAUACCGGAUAAUAUAUUGAACCGCAUGGUUCAAUAGUGAAAGACGGUUUUGCUGUCACUUAUAGAUGGAUCCGCGCCGCAUUAGCUAGUUGGUAAGGUAACGGCUUACCAAGGCAACGAUGCGUGGCCGACCUGAGAGGGUGAUCGGCCACACUGGAACUGAGACACGGUCCAGACUCCUACGGGAGGCAGCAGUAGGGAAUCUUCCGCAAAGGGCGAAAGCCUGACGGAGCAACGCCGCGUGAGUGAUGAAGGUCUUCGGAUCGUAAAACUCUGUUAUUAGGGAAGAACAAAUGUGUAAGUAACUAUGCACGUCUUGACGGUACCUAAUCAGAAAGCCACGGCUAACUACGUG